CAGAGGGGGCAAGCGUUGUUCGGAAUUACUGGGCGUAAAGGGCGCGUAGGCGGCCACCUAAGUCAGACGUGAAAUCCCUCGGCUCAACCGGGGAACUGCGUCUGAUACUGGGUGGCUUGAAUUCGGGAGAGGAAUGCGGAAUUCCAGGUGUAGCGGUGAAAUGCGUAGAUAUCUGGAGGAACACCGGUGGCGAAGGCGGCAUUCUGGACCGGCAUUGACGCUGAGGCGCGAAAGCCAGGGGAGCAAACGGGAUUAGAUACCCCGGUAGUCCUGGCCCUAAACGAUGAGUGCUUGGUGUGGCGGGUAUCGAUCCCUGCCGUGCCGAAGCUAACGCAUUAAGCAUUCCGCCUGGGGAGUACGGUCGCAAGGCUG
RNAcentral lists this ribosomal RNA (372 nucleotides) under uncultured organism. Its description in RNAcentral is "bacterial SSU rRNA". It matches the Rfam family "Bacterial small subunit ribosomal RNA", at positions 526 to 896 of the family's 1533-position model. The record is from RNAcentral.